This 254-nucleotide ribosomal RNA is filed under the name uncultured bacterium. Its description in RNAcentral is "partial 16S ribosomal RNA". It matches the Rfam family "Bacterial small subunit ribosomal RNA", at positions 524 to 776 of the family's 1533-position model. The record is from RNAcentral.
UACGUAGGGGGCAAGCGUUGUCCGGAUUUAUUGGGCGUAAAGAGCUCGUAGGUGGUUCGGUAAGUCGGAUGUGAAAUCUCCAGGCUCAACCUGGAGGGGUCAUUCGAUACUGCCGUGACUAGAGGUCGGUAGGGGAGUGUGGAAUUCCUGGUGGAGCGGUGAAAUGCGCAGAUAUCAGGAGGAACACCAAUGGCGAAGGCAGCACUCUGGGACGUGACUGACGCUGAGACGCGAAAGCGUGGGGAGCAAACAGG